AUGGAAUGCCAAAGUGAAGUGAGCAAGGCUCCUUCUUUUGCUAUUUGUGAUGUCCAGUCUGACGCAGAAUCAGCCGUCCACACUAGGCCAAGUCUGGACAUUGGGUUUACUACACCACAGAAAUCCUAUAGUGCACCUUUCUGUGGCUCAUCUUGUACUCCAGAGUGUGAUGAUGCCAUCAGACCAGCCAUUGGGAUGACUUUUGCUGAUUUGAACGCAGCCAAGGAGUUCUAUGAAGCUUAUGCACAUCAUGUUGGUUUUUCAGUACGUGUGGGGCAGCAAAAGAUUGUCAAUGGUGUCAUUACUCACAAGCGUUUCUACUGUGACCGUGAAGGUUUCCGUGAAGAGCGGAAAGGUAAGGAAACUUUGGUAGCUAGCACUGGUAGUAAGAGGAGAUAUGAGAGGAAAAUAACUAGAUGUGGGUGCGAAGCUAAACUUGCAGUCAAACGUACGGUCGAGAAUAAGUACAUUGUGACACUUUUCGAACAGGAGCACACACACACACUUGUAUCACCUAGUAAAAAACAAUUCAUCAGAUCAAACAGGAAAGUUAGCCAACAAGCAAAAACUACAUUAUGGAACUGUCAUAAAGCUAGCAUUGGCACAUCCCUAGCAUAUAGGUUCCUUCGUGUAGACUUGUUUUUUUUUUGA
This 651-nucleotide ribosomal RNA is filed under the name Triticum aestivum (bread wheat). Its description in RNAcentral is "partial small subunit ribosomal RNA". The record is from RNAcentral. Lineage: Eukaryota; Viridiplantae; Streptophyta; Magnoliopsida; Poales; Poaceae.